RNAcentral lists this ribosomal RNA (497 nucleotides) under uncultured bacterium. Its description in RNAcentral is "partial 16S ribosomal RNA". It matches the Rfam family "Bacterial small subunit ribosomal RNA", at positions 28 to 507 of the family's 1533-position model. The record is from RNAcentral.
GAUGAACGCUGGCGGCGUGCCUAAUACAUGCAAGUCGAGCGAAAAGACGAGGCGCUUGCUCCUCUGACGUUAGCGGCGGGCGGGUGUGUAACACGUGGAUAACCUACCUAUAAGACUGGGAUAACUUCGGGAAACCGGAGCUAAUACCGGAUAAUAUAUUGAACCGCAUGGUUCAAUAGUGAAAGACGGUUUUGCUGUCACGUAUAGAUGGAUCCGCGCCGCAUGAGCUGGUUGGUAAGGUAACGGCUUACCAAGGCGACGAUGCGUAGCCGACCUGAGAGAGGGAUCGGCCACACUGGAGCUGAGCCGCGGUCCAGGCUCCUACGGGAGGCAGCAGUAGGGAAUCGGACGCAAUGGGCGAAAGCCUGACGGAGCAACGCGGAGUGAGAUGUGACGGUCUUCGGAUCGUAAAACUCUGUUAUUAGGGAAGAACAAAUGUGUAAGUAACUAUGCACGGCUUGACGGUACCUAAUCAGAAAGCCACGGCUAACUACGUG